ACUUUAACAAACCCUAAAACAUUCUUGUGAGAUCUGCAGCGCCGUUCUGUGUUCUCACAUCCAUCGCCAUAUCUUUCAUGUAAGUUGUGAGGUUGCGGAAGCUUUUUCAUGAUGGAAAUAGUUGGCAGUAAUUGAUCAUCCAACAACUGUGAUUUCUUUGAUUAAAGAUUUUGAACCAACCCCUAUGCUACAGAUUGAAGGGACUACAGAAACCACUCCUGAAACUCCCAAACAACUUCAAGAGACCACACCCACGAUUCCCCCAGCUCCAACUAAAAUUCAUCCAGCCGCAGAAGACGCUGCUGCCCUGUUGAUGAUGGCACAGACAGCAACCUAUGUUCCUAAAACAGAUCCAGGGGUGCCAUCAUUCAGCCUUGGAUUGACUGAUUCAAGCCAGGAGGGGGCGUCAACGCAGGAGACAAAAAGGGCAAAAUCUCUUGAAACUGCAAAUUUGCUAGAAUAAUUGGACGAUUUGGUCCAAAAAAUAGCAAGCAGUGCGGCGAAGGGAAAAAACAAAAGUCCACAAAUUCAGAGGGAGACUGGGGGAGAAAGUUCUGCGAAGUUUGAAACUCCUGGGGCAAUAAAUUAGAUUACGGAUGAUAUGAAACAAAAGUGCUACAUCUGGGGGACGAGACUGAAGGAAGACACAGAUGGCAAUACUAACGAGUAUGAGGAGAUGUGCACUCUCAUUGCCCAAGAUGAAUACAUUUUGAUGAGUAUGCACCUUGCAUCCCUCCAGGCAAAAAGUGAUAUAGAAUCUCAGAUUGUAUCUGCCAUCUGCCUCAUCCUCAACCAGAAAAAUGAAAAGAGGUUUCAAGAACAAAUAUACUGUCUCCUCCCCGAUAUUGUGAGCAUGGCACUUUUGGAUCACCCAAAUUGGGAAUUCAUAUCACCGAAAACGAAUAAGGAAUUCAGAGUGGAAGGCUAACCGAGUUUUAUUCCCUUCAUAGAUAGAAAAAAAUUAACUUCACAUCCAUAUAUUUUUGCACCUGUUUGCCACUCGGGGCAUUGGUGGUUAUGGCUGAUAAAUACAACGAAGCGGAAAUGUCAUAUACUUGACCCGCUACACAAAAAAGCUCCAAGCGAAGAGAGAAAGUAGAUUAAUAAAUUCAUUGGAUAUGUAUUUUCAAGAUUGAGAGCAUAUGCCGGCGGGGAACCUCUGGAGAAAGACGAGAAGGAGAAGGAAAUUAAAGCAUCAUAUGUUACAAUAUCAGGCCAAAAAACAAGCUAUUACUGCGCUAUCUACGUUAUGAAGUGGCUUGAGUUAAUUGAGCCGGAAAACAUUAAAAAGGAGAAGUAUAAAUGGGAUAAUUGGAAACAGGAGGAGGUGGACCACUAUAGAGUGGAGUAUGCUUCCCGGAUACUAUUCAGUGAGAUGAAUAAACAGAGAGAUCGGGCAAUUAGAGAGAGUAGUGCUAUAAGGCUGUCGAAGCCAUCCUCUGUAUUAUUGAGUCCGUUUUGUCAGAUAAAUUCUGCUGAUAUAGAAACUGCGUAAUCCAACUGCUGGGUAGUUUGUAAAUUGAACAAAUGAUGUAAAUAUUUGCCAUUUAUCAACAACUUCUAUUGCAUGUAUAUUUUUUUC
This is a non-coding RNA of Arachis ipaensis, 1582 nucleotides long. The record is from RefSeq and is a predicted model, not a curated record. NCBI's taxonomy places the organism in Eukaryota, Viridiplantae, Streptophyta, Magnoliopsida, Fabales, Fabaceae.